Molecule: ribosomal RNA, 329 nt
Filed under: uncultured eukaryote
Lineage: Eukaryota
Description: partial 18S ribosomal RNA
Rfam family: Eukaryotic small subunit ribosomal RNA
Source: RNAcentral
CCCUUAGAUGUCCUGGGCCGCACGCGCGCUACACUGAGUGUCUGAGAUGCGAGUCUGCCUGGUCCGGCAAGGUCUAGGUAAUCGCUAAAAGACACAUCAUGCUUGGGAUAGAUUAUUGCAAAUAUUAAUCUUGAACGAGGAAUUCCUAGUAAGCGCAAGUCAACAGCUUGCGUUGAUUACGUCCCUGCCCUUUGUACACACCGCCCGUCGCUACUACUGAUUGGAUGUUUAAGCGAGGUUCUCGAACUGCUAGCGACUUAGCUUCGGUGAGGUCGCAGUGUGGGAAGUGAACCUAGCUUUGGUGUCUAGAGGAAGUAAAAGUCGUAACA